Small nuclear RNA from Equus asinus (donkey), 106 nucleotides. NCBI's taxonomy places the organism in Eukaryota, Metazoa, Chordata, Mammalia, Perissodactyla, Equidae. The record is from Ensembl.
GUUCUCGCCUCAGCAGUGUGGAUACUAAAAUUGGAAAGAUAAAGAGAAGGUUGUCAUGGCCUCUGCACAGGAUGACACACAAAUUCAAGAAGCAUCCCACUUUUUU